RNAcentral lists this ribosomal RNA (119 nucleotides) under Pteropus alecto (black flying fox). The record is from RNAcentral. Lineage: Eukaryota; Metazoa; Chordata; Mammalia; Chiroptera; Pteropodidae.
AUCUAUGGCCAUGCCACCCUGAACAUGCUCGAUCCCAUCUGAUCUCAGAAGCUAAGCAGGGUCGGGCCUCGUUAGUACUUGGAUGGGGGACCACCCAAGAAUACCAGGUGCUGUAGGCA